RNAcentral lists this ribosomal RNA (449 nucleotides) under uncultured bacterium. Its description in RNAcentral is "bacterial SSU rRNA". It matches the Rfam family "Bacterial small subunit ribosomal RNA", at positions 29 to 524 of the family's 1533-position model. The record is from RNAcentral.
AAUGAACGCUGGCGGCAGGCCUAACACAUGCAAGUCGAACGGAUCCUUCGGGAUUAGUGGCGGACGGGUGAGUAACGCGUGGGAACAUACCCUUUGGUACGGAAUAGCCUCGGGAAACUGGGAGUAAUACCGUAUGUGCUCUUCGGAGGAAAGAUUUAUCGCCAAAGGAUUGGCCCGCGUUGGAUUAGGUAGUUGGUGGGGUAAUGGCCUACCAAGCCGACGAUCCAUAGCUGGUUUGAGAGGAUGAUCAGCCACACUGGGACUGAGACACGGCCCAGACUCCUACGGGAGGCAGCAGUGGGGAAUCUUAGACAAUGGGGGAAACCCUGAUCUAGCCAUGCCGCGUGAUCGAUGAAGGCCUUAGGGUGUAAAGAUCUUUCAGUGGGGAAGAUAAUGACGGUACCCACAGAAGAAGCCCCGGCUAACUCCGUGCCAGCAGCCGCGGUAAU